This is a long non-coding RNA of Salvia miltiorrhiza (redroot sage), 5560 nucleotides long. RefSeq lists it as uncharacterized. The record is from RefSeq and is a predicted model, not a curated record. The transcript is spliced from 3 exons. Lineage: Eukaryota; Viridiplantae; Streptophyta; Magnoliopsida; Lamiales; Lamiaceae.
CGAUAAAUCAGCAUACAACUAAUAUGGUUAUUAGCAGAAACAGAUCAUGUAUCCGUGUCCAAUUUCAGUUGCUCCGUUGUUUAUCUGCAUCUUAUUAACCAUAUUCUCGUGAUGUAGUAAUGAUCAAGCAGACUUCACCAGUGAUGUUUCCAUCAACUGCGGCCCAACUGCAGCUUCAGCGGGAAGCAACGGUCGUCAACGGCCAUCCGUCAGUUUAGUUCUGCUGAUCCAAUUCCCCACAAGACGGCGAGAAUUUCCGGCUCACAAUUCUCAUAUGCAUUUCAAAUCAAUGCGGGUAAGAAAAUUAUCCGCCUUCACUUUAAUCCCACUCCAUACAUAGCGAUACUUUAUUAGCGUUGAAGCAUGCCCUUUUACCUUGCUUAGUAAUUUUAGUGCUUCACUUACUGCUGAUGCUCUUUGUGUGAGUACUUUUGCUAAGAAUUCUGCAAUAAUAGCUGUAAUAUCUGCAUUGAGUAUCAUUCUGCGGGAGAUUUGGGAAGCUAGGAGCAGUGAGGACGAACACAAGCUGAAAUCCAAUUAGCCAAUAGAAACUCCGAUGGCAGAUAAGAUUUAGGGGUUUUAGAGGAGGAGCGUCUUUGGUCAAGUUGGGCUGUCGAUAAGAUUAAUAAAGGAGAAGUUGAUCAGAUUGUAGAUUCAAAUUUAAGGGAGGAAAUCUAGCCAAAGAGUUUGAAGACAUUUAUUUAUGGAGGUUGCUGAAAGAUGCUUGCGUGAUGAACCAAAGUGUCGGCCAACAAUGUCUCAAAUUGUGGUACAACUUGAGUUUGCACUAGAGCAGCAAGAGAGCAAAGAACAAUCUGAUGCGCCAGAUAUAUUUGAUCAUGUUGCUAAUGAUGUGUAUCCAUCUAAUGAAGACAAUAUAUCCUCCGAAAAUGCUGAGUAACGGGGAGAAGCCUCUACUGAGGUGGAUACAUUUACAUCUAUUUUCAAUACAAUGCGUGAUUCUCGAGCUGACAAAGGAGAUGGGAAGAAACCGAAAGCACAUAGCCUAUUAAGAUUCUGGAUAUGGGGUGUCUUUAGGAAAAGAAUUAAUAAGCUUAAUAUCAGGUAGACAGGUAUGCAUUCAUUCUGUCAAGAUAGAUUUCAACUAUUCUGCAUCAUAUUGUGGGGUUUCAGUCGUUCCUUGCUGACUUUACCAUGGCUUGAUCUCAAUGAGUUCCAAAAUGAGAUAUUUCUGACUUCCAGAAUGGACCACCAAAACAUCGUUAAUCUACUUGGAUACUGCACUCCUGAAAAUGGAGAGGCGAUGUUACUCUAUGAUUACAUGGCUCAAGCCAAUUUAUUUGACCAUCUCUUCAAGUCCGGAAAUUCCUCAUUGUCAUGGAAACAAUGCCUUCAAAUUUGUAUAGACGCUGCCAAGGGAUUAGAGUAUCUUCAAACUGGGUGUGAGUACCCCAUCAUCCACCGAGAUGUUAAGCCCACCACCAUCCUGCCACCCAUGGUGAAAGUCAUGUCUGAUGUAUACUCAUUCGGUGUGGUGUUGUUUGAAGUUUUAUGUGGUAAGCCAGCAAUAUAUAUGAGCUCAAGCUUGGCGUCCAGGGUUGAAGUAUUUUUGAAGCAAGGAAAACUGGAAGAAAUAAUUGAUCCUAAUCUUAAUGGCCAAAUUGAUCCCGGAUGCUUUAAGAUAUUUACUGAAACAGCCAUUGCAUGCCUGAAUCUCCGAGGGAAUGAUCGGCCAGCAAUGAGAGAUGUUGUACAUAAUUUGGAGUUGGCUAUGGAAGCUCCAAGCAGCUGGUGAUGGCGGCGGCUUCAUUACGUUUGAGCUUGGAUCUGGGCCAGAUGCAGGGAAUACACUUUUGGUGAUGAACUAGUGUUUCCAUCAUCUAUUUCUUGGAGCUGCAUUGCUGACUCCAGGCUCCGAAUGACAUCCCUCAUGGUUGGCCUAUCAACCCCAAAGUCACUGAGGCAUGCUACGGCUGUUUCGGCAAACUUGUUCAAGCACUUGGGCCCAAUCUGGCCAUUGAGAUUGGGAUCAACAAUCUGUUCAAGUUUCCCUUCCAUGAAACAUGAUGUAGCCCAUUUUCCCAAGUUCACUUGCUCUCUUGUUAGCACGUGGUCUACUGCUGGCCUUGCACAUAAAACUUCAAACAACACCACCCCAAAUGAGUACACGUCGGUCUUUUCUGUCAAUUGCUGUCGCCUAAAGUACUCCGGAUCCAGGUAGACAGUUGUGCUGUCUGAAUCUGAAGAGUGUAGUUUUGACAGGCGAAAAACAUGUAUCUUGGCGACCCAUUCCUCAUCUAGUAGAAUAUUCACAGACUUGAUGUCGCGGUGGAUGAUGACUUGCUCAGCGCCACUGUGAAGAUAGUUCAAUGCUUUCGCGGUGUCCACACAUAUCUGGAGGCGUCGCUUCCAUGUUAAGGGGGGAUUUCUUGAAUUGUAGAGAUGAUCGCGUAACGUGCCGUGUGCCAUGUAAUUGUGGACUAAGGCCAUCUCCCCUUUCUCAUUGCAAUACCCGAUCAGUGAUACCAAGUUAUGGUGCCUCAGCUUUGACCAGAAAUGGAUUUGGGUGAGGAGUUCACUGGCUGCUUCCAAGGUUGAUGAAUUCAGUCUUUUAAUUGCCACAAUGGUGGCCCCUUUAUCAAUCAGCCCUUUAUACACCUUCCCGAAUGCUCCCAUGCCGAUGACAAAAUCAUCGUUGAAGUCCUGAGUUGCUGUUUUGAUCUCAUGGAGUGAGAAGUAUCUGCAUGGAUUUGAGAAUUGAUUGGCAGCAGCUGCAAAAUCACUCAGAUCAUAGUUCCACGAAUUUGCUGCAAUAUAAUUACACAAUGAAUAAUUUUGAAAAAUGUUAUUGAAAAUGCAGCAUGACAGAGUGAGUAUCCACCUGGUGCUAAGCAGAUUUCCUGUGAGUCAGAUGGAAUAUCCCGGCGCCAAAAGGCACGCCAUGCCCGGCAUGGGUUAUACUUGUUUGGUUUCCUCAAAUCUUUACUAGUAGCUGGAGCGUAAUUCAAAUCAGUGAGUUUGGUUUGAGGAUAUUUAACAGUCUGCAUAUCUGCGUAGGCUUCUGCUAAUUGCCCAGGGCUUUCAGAUGAUAUCUUAAUGUCUUCUUUCGCUGGAUUUCUGGUCUCCUGCUGCUCAAGUGCAAACUCGAGAUGCUGAACAACUUGGGACAUUGUUGGUCGAAACUUGGGUACAUCAUGCAAGCACUUUUCUGCAACCUCCACAAACGUCUUCAAGCUGUUGGGUAGAAUCUCCUCUCUCAGACUUGAAUCUAUUAUCUCAUUAGCAUCUCCUUUACUAAUCUUAUCAAGAACCCACGUGGUUAGACACCGCUCAUCGUUUGAAACCAUUGAAUCUAUAGCUGGUCUACCACAUAAUGUCUCAAACAACACCACACCAAAGGCAUAUGUGUCACUUUUGGUUGUUAACCUUUGGGUGGUCAUAUAAUAGGGGUCGAAGUACCCAAAUGUGCCCUUAACCUUUGUACUAACAUGGCUCUGCAACUUGCUCCUGUCUUCACGUUUUGCUAAACCAAAAUCCGAGACCUUAGCUAUGAAAUUUUCAUCCAGCAGGAUGUUAGAAGGCUUUACAUCGCGGUGAAUGAAUCCGUGGCUUGUGUGGAGAUAGUCUAGACCUCGACCAGCUUCUAUGCAGAUAUUGAGGCGCUGCUUCCACGUGAGAGAGCUACAAUUUCUGUUCCUCCGGGCAUUUCUAUAGAGAUGGUCAGCUAGUGUACCGUUGGGCAUAUGCUCGUACACAAGAAUCAUUUCUUUCCGCUCCCUGCAAUAGCCAAUUAGGGGGACGAGAUUGAUAUGUUGGAGCUCAGAAAGUGCCUCGAUCUCAGUCAAAAACUCGCGUACUCCUUGCUUGGAAUUCGAUUUCAACCUCUUUACAGCAACAGUUUUUUGCCCGUUAUCAAUGAGGCCUUUGUAGACUUUACCAAAUCCACCCUGUCCAAUGAGAUGUCCCUCGUGGAAGUUUUCCGUUGCUGAUUGAAUUUCGCGUAGUGGAAAAUAGCGAAAGAGGCGUUCGGCCCUGUCUGAUGGCCUAAUUUCUUCAUCAGCGCUGCUAGCUCCCCAGAUGUGUUUCAACUUAUAAACUGUGAUAUUUACCAGAGAUGCUAUAGUUAUUGCAACAGUUGCAGUUGCAUUUAUGUGACCAAGAAGAGAGAGCAAAUAUCGGAUGGUCGUUGAUGGUGGAUCCUGAUCAGGCGGAGGCAGGGGAUUCAGACUGGCCAGACUAUUGUCAGGGUUGCUCAACUUAACUAUCUCAAAUCCUGCAAGAACACCAUGUCCAUAUCUGAGUUCAUCAUAUGAUUGAAUGGAGAUCAAGAUAUCACGUUUGCCAUCCGUUUUGAGCCCUCGCAUCAUCACAAUGUAGUCCCUAUGCAGGACAAGAUGAUUCCCAUUGCUUGCUGUCAGUAUGUCACUAUUAGUUUGUGCAAUCAUGUCAUUGAUGAGGACCUUGAAUCUCAGCUCACCACUUCCUGCAAUCUUGAGUCCGACGUCCGAGAAAUGAAGCCUCACCAGGUACCUGAAUCCCAACGCGACCGGUAUUUUCCAGCUACUGCUCUUCUUCUUCUCUACUUGUUGCGUUGCCCACUUGGGGAACACGGAAUCCGAAUCUCCGUAAGACGACUGUUUAAUACUUCGCCUCUCGAUUAUCUCAAGUGCAGUCUCGUUAUCAACAUAGAUCAUAGACUUCUCACCAACAACUUGGAGUCCAAUAUCUCCACUGUCAAAGUAAGAAAGAGCGGUUGGUACUGCAGCAAUCUCAAUGCCAUUUACGAAAGCAUACGUAUCUUGUGAUCGACUUGUUUCAGGGUAGAAAGUUAUGGUGAGCUGUUCAUUCCCUUGCACGGUCAAACAGAAUUCCGUGGCGAAAGUAUUCGCAGCAAUAAGCGAGGCGCUGAAGUUGCUAAGCAAGGUAAAACUACCGGAUUGAACGGUGAACAAGUCCUUGAAUCCUCUAAAACCUUGAUACUUAGAGGGAUUAAAGUGAAGGCGGAUGAUUUUCUGACCUGGAUCGACUUGAAACGAGUAGGAAAACCGGGAACGCGAGAUUCUAGCCGUCGUGUGGGGAACAGGAUCAUCCAAGAUCAAGUAAUUGGUAGCCGUCGAGGUGGUUGACUUGCCAGUUAGUUGCAGCAAGGAAAAGAGUUCCGGUUGGGCGUCUCCGAGCCAUUGUCGGCCGUUGCGCGCUGCAGAAGCUCUAGCUGAGCCGCAGUUUAUUGAAACAUCACCCGUGAAUUGAGUCGAACUAGUGCUGCCUAUUGUGGAUGGGAUGAGGAAGUAGGCAAAUAGCAAAAGGAUUGAAAUUGGACACAGAUUCAUGUCUGAGGAGAAUGUGGCGAAGAAUGAUGAAUGAAGACUUUCCACUGUCAACUCCAUGCAAUAACAUAUUGGAAAAAAAUAACUAGAAGAAAAGUAGUUGUAGUUGGCGCGUUGUUACGUUGUUGAAUGUAUCUUAUUUGAUAAACGGUGGUUGUAUAAUUUUUCGUCGAAUCUCCUGCGUAGUUUGCUUGGAAUUUCCAAUAUUUUCAAGUGUACAAUACCUGGUGUUAUUAUUAUAAGGGAGCUUGGGGUUAGAGUAUUUUGGUAAA